RNAcentral lists this unclassified non-coding RNA (337 nucleotides) under uncultured fungus. RNAcentral's name for it is "partial contains small subunit ribosomal RNA, internal transcribed spacer 1, and 5.8S ribosomal RNA". The stretch from base 1 to 73 matches the Rfam family "Eukaryotic small subunit ribosomal RNA", at positions 1759 to 1831 of the family's 1831-position model. Lineage: Eukaryota; Fungi. The record is from RNAcentral.
ACAAACUUGGUCAUUUAGAGGAAGUAAAAGUCGUAACAAGGUUUCCGUAGGUGAACCUGCGGAAGGAUCAUUAACGAAUCGAACAAAAGGCCCGGCUGAUGCUGGCCCCCUCGGGGGUGUGUGCACGCCGUGUGCCUCGCUUCGCCCUUCCCCCCUUGUGCACUCCGUGUAGGUCGCCGGUGGCGGGGCCCCCUUCCGCCUCGGCACCUACGAUUUUCGUCUUUGUACGCACCCCGAUCGCAUGUACGCGAGCGCAGCUUUCUUGUGUUGACGCACAACACUAAAUACAACUUUCAACAACGGAUCUCUUGGCUCUCGCAUCGAUGAAGAACGCAGC